ACAGGGACCCCACAGAAAUCCUACAGGGACCCACGGAGACCCUACAGAAAUCCUACAAGGAUCCACGGAGACCCCACAGAGACCCCACAGGGACCCCGCAGAAAUCCUACAAGGACCCACGGAGACCCCAUAGGGACCCCACAGGGACCCACAGAGACCCUAUAGAGACCCCACAAGGGCCCCAUAGAAAUCCUACAAGGACCCACAGAGACCCACUGGAAAUCCUACAGGGACCCACAGAGACCCCCUGGAAAAUCCCAAAAGGAUCCACGGAGACCCCAUGGAGACCCCACAGGGACCCACGGAGACACCACAGAAAUCCUGUAAGGAUCCACAGAGACCGCACGGAGACCCCAUAGAGACCCUACAAGGACCCAUGGAGACCCCAUAGAGACCCCACAGGGACCCCACAGAAAUCCUACAAGGACCCACGGAGAUCCCACAGGGUCUCCAUGGGUUCCCCACGGAAAUCCUACAAGGAUCCAGAGAGACCCCAUGGAAAUCCUAAAAGGACCCACGGAGACCCCAUAGAGACCCCACAAGGACCCACGGAGACCCCAUAGAGACCCCACAAGGGCCCACGGAGACCCCAUAGGGACCCCACGGUGACCCCACAGAAAUCCUACAGGGACCCACAGAGACCCCACAGGGAUCCCAAAGACCCCCCCAAGGACCCCCCUGAAGCCCCCCCCAGCCCUGCCCCACAGCGGGACACAGGGACCCCCCCAGCCCCCCA
RNAcentral lists this long non-coding RNA (736 nucleotides) under Cairina moschata (Muscovy duck). RNAcentral describes it as "domestica (muscovy Duck (domestic type)) lncRNA (ENSCMMG00000013352.1)". The record is from RNAcentral. Lineage: Eukaryota; Metazoa; Chordata; Aves; Anseriformes; Anatidae.